CAGCAGCCGCGGUAAUACGAAGGGGGCUAGCGUUGUUCGGAUUUACUGGGCGUAAAGCGCACGUAGGCGGAUCGAUCAGUCAGGGGUGAAAUCCCAGAGCUCAACUCUGGAACUGCCUUUGAUACUGUCGAUCUGGAGUAUGGAAGAGGUGAGUGGAAUUCCGAGUGUAGAGGUGAAAUUCGUAGAUAUUCGGAGGAACACCAGUGGCGAAGGCGGCUCACUGGUCCAUUACUGACGCUGAGGUGCGAAAGCGUGGGGAGCGAACAGGAUUAGAGACCCCUGUAGUCCCUGUCUCUUAUAC
RNAcentral lists this ribosomal RNA (301 nucleotides) under uncultured bacterium. Its description in RNAcentral is "partial 16S ribosomal RNA". It matches the Rfam family "Bacterial small subunit ribosomal RNA", at positions 509 to 807 of the family's 1533-position model. The record is from RNAcentral.